CCGUAAACGAUGAAUACUAGGUGUAGGGGUUGUCAUGACCUCUGUGCCGCCGCUAACGCAUUAAGUAUUCCGCCUGGGGAAUACGGUCGCAAGAUUAAAACUCAAAGGAAUUGACGGGGGCCCGCACAAGCAGCGGAACAUGUGGUUUAAUUCCAAGCAACGCGAAAAACCUUACCUAGACUUGACAUCUCCUGAAUUACUCUGUAAUGGAGGAAGCCACUUCGGUGGCAGGAAAACAGGUGGUGCAUGGUUGUCGUCAGCUCGUGUCGUAAGAUUUUGGGUUAAUUCCCGCAACAAGCGCAACCCUUAUUGUUAGUUGCUACCAUUUAUUUAAACACUCUAUCAAAACUGCCCGGGUUAACCGGGAGGAA
This 371-nucleotide ribosomal RNA is filed under the name Clostridium butyricum. Its description in RNAcentral is "bacterial SSU rRNA". It matches the Rfam family "Bacterial small subunit ribosomal RNA", at positions 800 to 1171 of the family's 1533-position model. The record is from RNAcentral. Lineage: Bacteria; Bacillati; Bacillota; Clostridia; Eubacteriales; Clostridiaceae.